ACUUGUCUAGCUCAGUUGGUAGAGCACAAGCCUUUUAACCUUGUGGUCGUGGGUUUAAGCCCCACGAUGGGCA
RNAcentral lists this transfer RNA (73 nucleotides) under Zea mays. It matches the Rfam family "tRNA". From Rfam's summary of the family: Transfer RNA (tRNA) molecules are approximately 80 nucleotides in length. The record is from Rfam by way of RNAcentral. Lineage: Eukaryota; Viridiplantae; Streptophyta; Magnoliopsida; Poales; Poaceae.